GAAGUCACUAAUCCCAUGCUGCCAAGAAAAGCCUCUAGCGAGCUUGCACGGUACCCGUACCCCAAACCGACACAGGUGGGCAGGUAGAGAAUACCAAGGCGAUCGGGAGAACUGUGGUUAAGGAACUCGGCAAAAUGCCUCCGUAACUUCGGGAGAAGGAGGACCCCAUCAGGGUGAAGGACCUCGCGUCCGGAGCUCGAAGGGGUGGCACAGACCAGGGGAAAGCGACUGUUUACUAAAAACACAGCAGCGUGCGAAGUCGUAAGACGAUGUAUACGCUGUGACGCCUGCCCAAUGCCGGAAGGUUAAAGGGAAAGGUUAGCCCGCAAGGGCGAAGCUUUGAACUGAAGCCCCGGUGAAUGGCGGCCGUAACUAUAACGGUCCUAAGGUAGCGAAAUUCCUUGUCGGGUAAGUUCCGACCUGCACGAAUGGCGUAACGACUUUCCUACUGUCUCAACCACAGACCCGGCGAAAUUGAAGUACGAGUAAAGAUGCUCGUUAGCUGCAGAAGGACGGAAAGACCCCGUGGACCUUUACUAUAGCUUGAUGUUGAGUUUUGUUAUGUGUUGUGUAGGAUAGGUGGGAGACUUGGAAGCAUUGGCGCCAGCCAGUGUGGAGUCAACCUUGAAAUACCACCCUGCUCAUGACGGAGCUCUAACCCACGUCCCUGAUCGGGAUGGGGAACAGCGUCUGGUGGGUAGUUUGACUGGGGCGGUCGCCUCCUAAAGAGUAACGGAGGCGCCCAAAGGUUCCCUCAGGCUGGUUGGCAAUCAGCCGUCGAGUGCAAUGGCACAAGGGAGCUUGACUGCGAGACCUACAAGUCAAGCAGGUGCGAAAGCAGGGCAUAGUGAUCCGGCGGUUGCGUGUGGAAGCGCCGUCGCUCAACGGAUAAAAGGUACCCCGGGGAUAACAGGCUCAUCUUCCCCAAGAGUCCAUAUCGACGGGAAGGUUUGGCACCUCGAUGUCGGCUCAUCGCAUCCUGGGGCUGAAGCAGGUCCCAAGGGUUGGGCUGUUCGCCCAUUAAAGCGGUACGCGAGCUGGGUUUAGAACGUCGUGAGACAGUUCGGUCCCUAUCCUCUGCAGCCGGAAGGAACUUGAGAAAAUCUGUCCCUAGUACGAGAGGACCGGGAUGGACGCAGCUCUCGUGUGCCAGUUGUCCUGCCAAGGGCACUGCUGGUUAGCGUCCUGCGGAAGGGAUAAGCGCUGAAAGCAUCUAAGUGCGAAGCCCAUUUCUAGAUGAGGUUCCUCACUGGGUUAACCAGGUAAGGCCCGUGAUAGACCAACACGUUGAUAGGCCGGAAGUGUAAGCGUGGUAACACGUUCAGCUGACCGGUAC
Molecule: ribosomal RNA, 1336 nt
Filed under: metagenome
Description: bacterial LSU rRNA
Rfam family: Bacterial large subunit ribosomal RNA
Source: RNAcentral